AAAGGAAUUGACGGGGGCCCGCACAAGCGGCGGAGCAUGUUGCUUAAUUCGACGCAACGCGAAGAACCUUACCAAGGCUUGACAUACACCGGAAACGCCCAGAGAUGGGUGCCUCCUUUUGGACUGGUGUACAGGUGGUGCAUGGCUGUCGUCAGCUCGUGUCGUGAGAUGUUGGGUUAAGUCCCGCAACGAGCGCAACCCUUGUUCCAUGUUGCCAGCAUGCCCGUUUGGGUGGUGGGGACUCAUGGGAGACUGCCGGGGUCAACUCGGAGGAAGGUGGGGAUGACGUCAAGUCAUCAUGCCCCUUAUGUCUUGGGCUGCAAACAUGCUACAAUGGUCGGUACAGAGGGUUGCGAUACCGUGAGGUGGAGCGAAUCCCUAAAAGCCGGUCUCAGUUCGGAUUGGGGUCUGCAACUCGACCCCAUGAAGUCGGAGUCGCUAGUAAUCGCAGAUCAGCAAUGCUGCGGUGAAUACGUUCCCGGGCCUUGUACACACCGCCCGU
Molecule: ribosomal RNA, 502 nt
Filed under: uncultured bacterium
Lineage: Bacteria
Description: bacterial SSU rRNA
Rfam family: Bacterial small subunit ribosomal RNA
Source: RNAcentral